RNAcentral lists this transfer RNA (69 nucleotides) under Marmota monax (woodchuck). RNAcentral's name for it is "tRNA.Ala". The record is from RNAcentral. Lineage: Eukaryota; Metazoa; Chordata; Mammalia; Rodentia; Sciuridae.
GGGUGUGGCUCAGUGGUAGAGUGCUUGCCUAGCACAUGUGAGGCACUGGGUUCGAUCCUCAGCACCACA